UUUAUCUAUAAGUCUUGACAAAUUCACGUGCCAGCAGUCGCGGUAAGACGUGUAAGACAAGUGUUAUUCAUCUUUAUUAGGUAUAUAGGGUACUCAGACAGUUAAUUAAGCCGAUCAGGUACUAAUUAUACUAGAGUUUUAUGAGAAAAGGCUAGAACGGUGAGUGUAGUGAUAAAAUACGUUGAUACCACUUAGACACUGACAACGGCGAAAGCGACCUUUUAUGUAAAAACUGACGUUAAAGUACGAAGGCUCAAAAUAAGAAACAGGAUUAGAUACCCCAGUACUGUGGGCAGACAAUGAUGAGUGUCAUAGGUAAGUAUAAAUAUAAUUUAUAAUAAAGUUAUAUGACUAUUUACGUAUAAAUGAAAGUGUAAGCACUCCACCUUAAGAGUAACAUGGCAACAUGGGAACUGAAAUCAUUAGACCGUUUCUGAAACCAGUAGUGAAGUAUGUUGUUUAAUUAGAUAAUCCACAAAGAACCUUACCACAAUUUGUAUGUUUUUUUUUGCAAAAAAAAAUCACAGGAGUUGCACGGCUGUCUUCAGUUGAUAUCGUGAGAUUUUGGUUAGCUCCAUUGAAUCAACGUAAACCCUUACUUUAUUUUAUUCAUAAAGCAUUCCGUCAACUUAGGCUAUGAUAAUAGGGACUAAGACAAGUCAUCAUGACCCGUAUAUUGUGGGC
Molecule: ribosomal RNA, 684 nt
Filed under: Porina nucula
Lineage: Eukaryota; Fungi; Ascomycota; Lecanoromycetes; Ostropales; Porinaceae
Description: SSU rRNA
Rfam family: Bacterial small subunit ribosomal RNA
Source: RNAcentral